Long non-coding RNA from Hemicordylus capensis (graceful crag lizard), 591 nucleotides. RefSeq lists it as uncharacterized. NCBI's taxonomy places the organism in Eukaryota, Metazoa, Chordata, Lepidosauria, Squamata, Cordylidae. The transcript is spliced from 3 exons. The record is from RefSeq and is a predicted model, not a curated record.
AGGGUGGUGGUGGGGUGAUUAUGUGGGGCAGAGUAGCACUGUGCAAACCCUCUGCCCUCCCUGCCCUGCAGCCCUGGGCUGUGCUGAGAGCUUGUGCCUUCCUCCUCCUUCGCAAUGGAAGCUCACAAGGCAGGCAAGGAUUGAAACAGGAGCCAAUGGCUGAAGCAGGAGCUGGAUGCAGCUAUGAGGAGAUCUAUAUGGAGCUCUUUCAGCGGCAAAGUGAACACCAAAAUACCAAUCCUUCUUGAGAAGAAGUAUGGUACUAGAGGUGGAAGAAAACAGAGGACUUGUUAGAAGAAGAGUGGCCGACAAAAAGUAAACCCCAAGCACAAAACUACAGUGGCAAGGUGGCCUAAACCUUCACAAGGGCUUAGGCAGAAAUGAUAAAAUUACAAGAUUUUUUGAACAUGAAAUUUGGCCACAUUUUGUGUCAGGUGAUGUAUUUGAUUUGAAGGUGAAUAUUCCCUAGAGCUCAGCCUUUGUGUAAAUCUGUGGUUCUGAUGCAGGCAGCCAAUGCUGCUGCAGUAGUACCUCUAAUGGAUAUGUGCAGUUUAAGUGACAGUCAACUCAAGGUAUGCUUAUCAUGUCCUA